GUCGAACGAGCACUGAGGUUUCGGCCAAAUAUGCUUAGUGGCGGACUGGUGAGUAACGCGUGAGGACCUGCCUUCCAGAGGGGGACAACAGUUGGAAACGACUGCUAAUACCGCAUGAUGGGGCAUCCCAAAGAUUUAUCGCUGGAAGAUGGCCUCGCGUCUGAUUAGCUAGAUGGUGGGGUAACGGCCCACCAUGGCGACGAUCAGUAGCCGGACUGAGAGGUUGACCGGCCACAUUGGGACUGAGAUACGGCCCAGACUCCUACGGGAGGCAGCAGUGGGGAAUAUUGGGCAAUGGGCGCAAGCCUGACCCAGCAACGCCGCGUGAAGGAAGAAGGCUUUCGGGUUGUAAACUUCUUUUGUCAGGGAACAUAGAAGAGGGUACCUGACGAAUAAGCCACGGCUAACUACGUGCCAGCAGCCGCGGUAAUACGUAGGUGGCAAGCGUUGUCCGGAUUUACUGGGUGUAAAGGGCGUGCAGCCGGGCUGGUAAGUCAGAUGUGAAAUCUGGAGGCUCAACCUCCAAACUGCAUUUGAAACUGCUGGUCUUGAGUACCGGAGAGGUUAUCGGAAUUCCUUGUGUAGCGGUGAAAUGCGUAGAUAUAAGGAAGAACACCAGUGGCGAAGGCGGAUAACUGGACGGCAACUGACGGUGAGGCGCGAAAGCGUGAGGAGCAAACAGGAUUAGAUACCCUGGUAGUCCACGCUGUAAACGAUGGAUACUAG
This 726-nucleotide ribosomal RNA is filed under the name uncultured bacterium. RNAcentral describes it as "bacterial SSU rRNA". It matches the Rfam family "Bacterial small subunit ribosomal RNA", at positions 61 to 819 of the family's 1533-position model. The record is from RNAcentral.